UAAGAGGUAUUUACAUUGGAGGGC
RNAcentral lists this non-coding RNA (24 nucleotides) under Cricetulus griseus (Chinese hamster). The record is from RNAcentral. Lineage: Eukaryota; Metazoa; Chordata; Mammalia; Rodentia; Cricetidae.